GCGUUUGUGGUUUAGUGGUAAAAUUCAUCGUUGCCAUCUGCCUCCGCAGGUCAAGUUCGAUGAGCCCCGGGUUCAAUUCCCGGCAGACGCA
RNAcentral lists this transfer RNA (91 nucleotides) under Drechslerella stenobrocha 248. It matches the Rfam family "tRNA". Rfam says of the family: Transfer RNA (tRNA) molecules are approximately 80 nucleotides in length. Their secondary structure includes four short double-helical elements and three loops (D, anti-codon, and T loops). Lineage: Eukaryota; Fungi; Ascomycota; Orbiliomycetes; Orbiliales; Orbiliaceae. The record is from Rfam by way of RNAcentral.